CAGAAUCUCUGACCUGAUGGCAGCAAGGAGAGGAGURAGUGUCUGUGGUGGUCGAGCUCUUUGAGGAUCUUCUCAGCCUGCAGAUGUCCUGCAGUUUAGCUGCCCAUUCAGGUGAUGAUGCUCCCACUGCAGAAGUUCCUGAGCACCUUGGAGUGCCUGAAGUCAGAGACGUCUGAGAUGAAAGAGACGCUGUCUGGCCUUUUUAACUGUUCUGUUAACAUGGAGUGACCAGGACACAUCCUGUGUAAUGGUCACUCCAGGGCAGGGGUCAUGGUACAUUUGACCUGGUCCUGACACUUUUUAGAGAGUUCAGCCUCUUCAGAAACCCUGGUCUCUUCAGAGUGCCCASCUUCUUUCUGGACCCUAGGCAUUUUCCUGGUUGUCUCAUCAUCACCAUAAGUGGCUUU
Molecule: long non-coding RNA, 407 nt
Organism: Austrofundulus limnaeus
Lineage: Eukaryota; Metazoa; Chordata; Actinopteri; Cyprinodontiformes; Rivulidae
Exons: 3
Source: RefSeq, a predicted model, not a curated record